Molecule: ribosomal RNA, 253 nt
Filed under: uncultured bacterium
Lineage: Bacteria
Description: partial 16S ribosomal RNA
Rfam family: Bacterial small subunit ribosomal RNA
Source: RNAcentral
UACGGGGGGGGCAAGCGUUGUUCGGAAUUACUGGGCGUAAAGGGCUCGUAGGCGGCCAACUAAGUCAGACGUGAAAUCCCUCAGCUUAACCGGGGAACUGCGUCUGAUACUGGAUGGCUUGAGUUUGGGAGAGGGAUGCGGAAUUCCAGGUGUAGCGGUGAAAUGCGUAGAUAUCUGGAGGAACACCGGUGGCGAAGGCGGCAUCCUGGACCAACACUGACGCUGAGGAGCGAAAGCCAGGGGAGCAAACGGG